RNAcentral lists this ribosomal RNA (554 nucleotides) under Oplegnathus fasciatus (barred knifejaw). RNAcentral's name for it is "partial 16S ribosomal RNA". It matches the Rfam family "Bacterial large subunit ribosomal RNA", at positions 1857 to 2609 of the family's 2925-position model. Lineage: Eukaryota; Metazoa; Chordata; Actinopteri; Centrarchiformes; Oplegnathidae. The record is from RNAcentral.
GCCUGCCCUGUGACUAUAUGUUUAACGGCCGCGGUAUUUUGACCGUGCAAAGGUAGCGCAAUCACUUGUCUUUUAAAUGGAGACCCGUAUGAAUGGCAUAACGAGGGCUUAACUGUCUCCUUUUUCAAGUCAAUGAAAUUGAUCUCCCCGUGCAGAAGCGGGGAUAAAACCAUAAGACGAGAAGACCCUAUGGAGCUUUAGACACCAAGGCAGAUCAUGUUAAGCACCCCAAAUUAAAGGGCCAAACCAGAGGAGCCCUGCCCUAAUGUCUUUGGUUGGGGCGACCGUGGGGAAACAAAAAACCCCCAUGUGGAAUGGGAAAACCCUUUCCUAAAACUAAGAGCCCCCGCUCUAAUAAACAGAAUUUCUGACCAAUCAGAUCCGGCAACGCCGAUCAACGGACCGAGUUACCCUAGGGAUAACAGCGCAAUCCUCUUUUAGAGCCCAUAUCGACAAGAGGGUUUACGACCUCGAUGUUGGAUCAGGACAUCCUAAUGGUGCAGCCGCUAUUAAGGGUUCGUUUGUUCAACGAUUAAAGUCCUACGUGAUCUGAG